UUAAAAAUGUACCUAAGACAGUAGGGAACGAAAGUUUUAAUAAUCCUACCGAGGACAAUAAUAAAAAGAGUAUUAUUUCUAUGCCUUUUUGUAUGUUCUCACAUGCGGAAAGGUUUUUUUAUUG
RNAcentral lists this small RNA (124 nucleotides) under uncultured Gemella sp. RNAcentral describes it as "Ribosomal protein L10 leader". It matches the Rfam family "Ribosomal protein L10 leader". Rfam says of the family: This family is a putative r-protein leader autoregulatory structure found in B. subtilis and other low-GC Gram-positive bacteria. It is located in the 5' untranslated regions of mRNAs encoding ribosomal proteins L10 and L12 (rplJ-rplL). Lineage: Bacteria; Bacillati; Bacillota; Bacilli; Caryophanales; Gemellaceae. The record is from RNAcentral.